RNAcentral lists this ribosomal RNA (931 nucleotides) under Trametes hirsuta. RNAcentral describes it as "LSU rRNA". It matches the Rfam family "Eukaryotic large subunit ribosomal RNA", at positions 41 to 959 of the family's 3401-position model. The record is from RNAcentral. Lineage: Eukaryota; Fungi; Basidiomycota; Agaricomycetes; Polyporales; Polyporaceae.
UAUCAAUAAGCGGAGGAAAAGAAACUAACAAGGAUUCCCCUAGUAACUGCGAGUGAAGCGGGAAAAGCUCAAAUUUAAAAUCUGGCGGUCUUUGGCCGUCCGAGUUGUAGUCUGGAGAAGCGUCUUCCGCGUUGGACCGUGUACAAGUCUCUUGGAACAGAGCGUCAUAGAGGGUGAGAAUCCCGUCUUUGACACGGACUACCAAUGCUUUGUGAUGCGCUCUCAAAGAGUCGCGUUGUUUGGGAAUGCAGCGCAAAAUGGGAGGUGAAUUCCUUCUAAAGCUAAAUAUUGGCGAGAGACCGAUAGCGAACAAGUACCGUGAGGGAAAGAUGAAAAGCACUUUGGAAAGAGAGUUAAACAGUACGUGAAAUUGCUGAAAGGGAAACGCUUGAAGUCAGUCGCGUCGUCCGGAACUCAGCCUUGCUUCGGCUUGGUGCACUUUCCGGUUGACGGGCCAGCAUCGAUUUUGACCGCUGGAAAAGGGCUGGAGGAAUGUGGCACCUUCGGGUGUGUUAUAGCCUUCAGUCGCAUACAGCGGUUGGGAUCGAGGAACGCAGCACGCCUUAUGGCUGGGGUUCGCCCACAUUCGUGCUUAGGAUGCUGGCAUAAUGGCUUUAAACGACCCGUCUUGAAACACGGACCAAGGAGUCUAACAUGCCUGCGAGUGUUUGGGUGGAAAACCCGAGCGCGUAAUGAAAGUGAAAGUUGAGACCUCUGUCGUGGAGGGCAUCGACGCCCGGACCUGAAGUUUUCUGACGGAUCCGCGGUAGAGCAUGUAUGUUGGGACCCGAAAGAUGGUGAACUAUGCCUGAAUAGGGUGAAGCCAGAGGAAACUCUGGUGGAGGCUCGUAGCGAUUCUGACGUGCAAAUCGAUCGUCAAAUUUGGGUAUAGGGGCGAAAGACUAAUCGAACCAUCUAGUAGCUGGUUCUG